Molecule: ribosomal RNA, 1341 nt
Filed under: uncultured bacterium
Lineage: Bacteria
Description: partial 16S ribosomal RNA
Rfam family: Bacterial small subunit ribosomal RNA
Source: RNAcentral
GACGAACUCUGGCGGCGUGCUUAACACAUGCAAGUCGAACGGUAAGGCUCCAGCUUGCUGGGGUACACGAGUGGCGAACGGGUGAGUAACACGUGAGUGACCUGCCCUGCACUUCGGGAUAAGCCUGGGAAACUGGGUCUAAUACCGGAUAGGACCGCACCGUGAGGGUGUGGUGGAAAGUUUUUUCGGUGUGGGAUGGGCCCGCGGCCUAUCAGCUUGUUGGUGGGGUAAUGGCCUACCAAGGCGGCGACGGGUAGCCGGCCUGAGAGGGUGGACGGCCACAUUGGGACUGAGACACGGCCCAGACUCCUACGGGAGGCAGCAGUGGGGAGUAUUGCACAAUGGGCGGAAGCCUGAUGCAGCGACGCCGCGUGGGGGAUGACGGCCUUCGGGUUGUAAACUCCUUUCACCAUCGACGAAGGGUUUCUGACGGUAGAUGGAGAAGAAGCACCGGCUAACUACGUGCCAGCAGCCGCGGUAAUACGUAGGGUGCGAGCGUUGUCCGGAAUUACUGGGCGUAAAGAGCUCGUAGGUGGUUUGUCGCGUCGUCUGUGAAAUUCCGGGGCUUAACUCCGGGCGUGCAGGCGAUACGGGCAUAACUUGAGUACUGUAGGGGAGACUGGAAUUCCUGGUGUAGCGGUGAAAUGCGCAGAUAUCAGGAGGAACACCGGUGGCGAAGGCGGGUCUCUGGGCAGUAACUGACGCUGAGGAGCGAAAGCAUGGGGAGCGAACAGGAUUAGAUACCCUGGUAGUCCAUGCCGUAAACGGUGGGCGCUAGGUGUGGGUUUCCUUCCACGGGAUCCGUGCCGUAGCUAACGCAUUAAGCGCCCCGCCUGGGGAGUACGGCCGCAAGGCUAAAACUCAAAGGAAUUGACGGGGGCCCGCACAAGCGGCGGAGCAUGUGGAUUAAUUCGAUGCAACGCGAAGAACCUUACCUGGGCUUGACAUAUACAGGAUCGCGCCAGAGAUGGUGUUUCCCUUGUGGCUUGUAUACAGGUGGUGCAUGGUUGUCGUCAGCUCGUGUCGUGAGAUGUUGGGUUAAGUCCCGCAACGAGCGCAACCCUUGUCUUAUGUUGCCAGCACGUUGUGGUGGGGACUCGUAAGAAACUGCCGGGGUUAACUCGGAGGAAGGUGGGGAUGACGUCAAAUCAUCAUGCCCCUUAUGUCCAGGGCUUCACACAUGCUACAAUGGUCGGUACAGUGGGUUGCCAGUCCGUGAGGGCGAGCUAAUCCCGCAAAGCCGGUCUCAGUUCGGAUCGGGGUCUGCAACUCGACCCCGUGAAGUCGGAGUCGCUAGUAAUCGCAGAUCAGCAACGCUGCGGUGAAUACGUUCCCGGGCCU